RNAcentral lists this ribosomal RNA (468 nucleotides) under uncultured bacterium. Its description in RNAcentral is "partial 16S ribosomal RNA". It matches the Rfam family "Bacterial small subunit ribosomal RNA", at positions 28 to 507 of the family's 1533-position model. The record is from RNAcentral.
GACGAACGCUGGCGGCGUGCUUAACACAUGCAAGUCGAACGGAAAGGCCCUGCUUUUGUGGGGUGCUCGAGUGGCGAACGGGUGUGUAACACGUGAGUAACCUGCCCUUGACUUUGGGAUAACUUCAGGAAACUGGGGCUAAUACCGGAUAGGAGCUCCUGCUGCAUGGUGGGGGUUGGAAAGUUUCGGCGGUUGGGGAUGGACUCGCGGCUUAUCAGCUUGUUGGUGGGGUAGUGGCUUACCAAGGCUUUGACCGGUAGCCGGCCUGAGAGGGUGACCGGACACAUUGGGAAUGAGAUGCGGCCCAGACUCCUACGGGAGGCGGCAGUGGGGAAUAGUGCACAAUGGGCGGAAGCCUGAUGCAGCAACGCCGCGUGCGGGAUGACGGCAUUCGGGUUGUAAACCGCUUUCGCCUGUGACGAAGCGUGAGUGACGGUAAUGGGUAAAGAAGCACCGGCUAACUACGUG